This 484-nucleotide ribosomal RNA is filed under the name uncultured bacterium. Its description in RNAcentral is "partial 16S ribosomal RNA". It matches the Rfam family "Bacterial small subunit ribosomal RNA", at positions 30 to 507 of the family's 1533-position model. The record is from RNAcentral.
AUUGAACGCUGGCGGCAGGCCUAACACAUGCAAGUCGAGCGGAUGAAGGGAGCUUGCUCCUGGAUUCAGCGGCGGACGGGUGAGUAAUGCCUAGGAAUCUGCCUGGUAGUGGGGGAUAACGUCCGGAAACGGGCGCUAAUACCGCAUACGUCCUGAGGGAGAAAGUGGGGGAUCUUUGGACCUCAAGCUAUCAGAUGAGCCUAGGUCGGAUUAGCUAGUUGGUGGGGUAAAGGCCUACCAAGGCGACGAUCCGUAACUGGUCUGAGAGGAUGAUCAGUCACACUGGAACUGAGACACGGUCCAGACUCCUACGGGAGGCAGCAGUGGGGAAUAUUGGACAAUGGGCGAAAGCCUGAUCCAGCCAUGCCGCGUGUGUGAAGAAGGUCUUCGGAUUGUAAAGCACUUUAAGUUGGGAGGAAGGGCAGUAAGUUAAUACCUUGCUGUUUUGACGGUACCAACAGAAUAAGCACCGGCUAACUUCGUG